This is a transfer RNA of Camelus ferus (Wild Bactrian camel), 73 nucleotides long. It matches the Rfam family "tRNA". From Rfam's summary of the family: Transfer RNA (tRNA) molecules are approximately 80 nucleotides in length. Their secondary structure includes four short double-helical elements and three loops (D, anti-codon, and T loops). Further hydrogen bonds mediate the characteristic L-shaped molecular structure. tRNAs have two regions of fundamental functional importance: the anti-codon, which is responsible for specific mRNA codon recognition, and the 3' end, to which the tRNAs corresponding amino acid is attached (by aminoacyl-tRNA synthetases). tRNAs cope with the degeneracy of the genetic code in two manners: having more than one tRNA (with a specific anti-codon) for a particular amino acid; and 'wobble' base-pairing, i.e. permitting non-standard base-pairing at the 3rd anti-codon position. The record is from Rfam. NCBI's taxonomy places the organism in Eukaryota, Metazoa, Chordata, Mammalia, Artiodactyla, Camelidae.
GAGGGUAUAGCUCAGUGGUAGAGCAUGGGCCUAGCAUGCACUGGGGUCCUGGGUUCAAUCCCCAGUCCUUCCA